This is a long non-coding RNA of Homo sapiens (human), 1533 nucleotides long. Ensembl annotates it as long intergenic non-protein coding RNA 1524. The record is from Ensembl. NCBI's taxonomy places the organism in Eukaryota, Metazoa, Chordata, Mammalia, Primates, Hominidae.
GCGCCAGGCGACUGGGUCUGAGGAGGCAGGAGUUAUUCAUUCCCUUAAGCUUUCAGGCCGGGGGGAGAAUCUUUCAGAAUACUUCUGUUGGGUUGAAUGACUCUCUGCCCCCAGCUUUCAGAGUGACUAACCAUACCAGUUUGACCAAGACUGUAUUGGCUGCAGCACUUAAAAGCUCACAUCCCGGAAAUCCUUUGGUCCUCGGUGAAUUGGGAUGGUUGGUUACCCUAUUACUGAUGAUUGUAAUUCUCAGGAAAGAGAUCUUCAUGUAAACAGAGUCCCUCUUAUUGGCUGAAGUGAAGAGUCAUUCUGAGGAGGAUCUGAAAAUGUAGAGGUGAGACGCUAAUGGCAGAGUGGCCUCAGCUUUCACCAGGUUUUGAAAACAUCUGUGAGGGAGGCACCAAAUUCACUGUCCUGCAGCUUUGACUUCCCAAUCCUCGUUGCCUCGUGCUGCCAGCCUGUAUGCUGGUAGAAGUGUGUUCCUGGGAACAUCCUGGCAUCUUGUGUUAGGACUACACUGGUGCAUGGGACAGAUCACGCUCAAGAAGGUCGAUGUAAUUUGAAAAACAGAUGGGCUCUGCUUUGUGAAAACUCCAAGCAUAUGAAGUCUAACUUGAAUAAAAGGCAUCUCAAGAUGAAGGUUUCCUAUUUGUGAUUAUGAAAAAAAUGUCAAGAACAAGUCCCUUGGUGUUCUUAGACCAAAGUCAGAACAACAGACCUAGUAUUUGUCUGGGGCUGGCUGUGCACCCAGAAGGCCAUUCGUUCCAUGAAGAACAUGACAGAGGUACCUGGUCCUACCUGGAUUCUUGGGCAUGCGGGCAGCAGCAGCAGCAGCAGCCACAGUGAACUUCAUCCUAAGGAAAUUAAGCACACGUUGCGUGAGGCUGCUGUGGGGGUGCCAGGUCAGAUUCUCCAGUGGUAGAACCUGAGAUGAGAAUUCAUGGGCAAGGAUUUACUGAGAAUGUUCCCCCAGAAGAAUUGUGUAGGGUGAUGGGAGAAGCAGCCCAGGGAAGGGAAAGGAGCCAGCCAGGCAAGAUGUGACUUCAGGCAAAUCUCAGCCUCAGCCUGAUCCUAUGGGGAGCUCAGGAGUGUAAAUCUCCCCCCAGAUUUUUUUCUCAACUGGCAGAAAAAGAAGUGGGGUUUCAUACUCCCCCUACAAUUGGUCCUUGCCUAAGAGCCACUGGGAGAGGCAUAAACUCCCAGGCACUUCUGGUUAUCUUCCCUGUAAGCAGAGCAGCCCUCAUAGCCUGCGGCAGCUCCUUAAAAAGAAUCACAAGUAUAGGAAAGUGCCCAAAGAAGGGGGGGAAGUGGGGAUAGGACCCACAGGAGACUGUAAGAAGGAUUCAAGGUGGUGUGAGAGGAGAACAGCCGAGUCUGCUGUCCCCAAUAAGGAGUAUUGAGUACUCUGUGCCUACAAGGUGGGAGCUGGGGGAGGAGCCCCACCCCAAGGCAGAGUACCUACAGUCUAUAUAGAUUUUAAGGACCUCUAAAAUAUUUGAGAUCUAAAAACUAAAAAAAUAAUAAUAAUAAUAA